RNAcentral lists this ribosomal RNA (494 nucleotides) under uncultured bacterium. Its description in RNAcentral is "bacterial SSU rRNA". It matches the Rfam family "Bacterial small subunit ribosomal RNA", at positions 791 to 1277 of the family's 1533-position model. The record is from RNAcentral.
UAGUCCACGCUGUAAACGAUGUCGACUAGCCGUUGGGCUCAUUUUAGGGUUUAGUGGCGCAGCUAACGCGAUAAGUCGACCGCCUGGGGAGUACGGCCGCAAGGUUAAAACUCAAAGGAAUUGACGGGGGCCCGCACAAGCGGUGGAGCAUGUGGUUUAAUUCGAUGCAACGCGAAGAACCUUACCAGCCCUUGACAUCCUGCGAACUUUCUAGAGAUAGAUUGGUGCCUUAGGGAACGCAGUGACAGGUGCUGCAUGGCUGUCGUCAGCUCGUGUCAUGAGAUGUUGGGUUAAGUCCCGUAACGAGCGCAACCCUUGUCCUUAGUUGCCAGCACAUAAUGGUGGGAACUCUAAGGAGACUGCCGGUGAUAAACCGGAGGAAGGUGGGGGAUGACGUCAAGUCAUCAUGGGCCCUUAUGGGGCUGGGGCUACACACGUGCUACAAUGGCCGGUACAGAGGGGUUGCGAAGCAGCGAUGUGGGAGCCAAUCCCAG